CCUACGGGAGGCAGCAGUGGGGAAUAUUGCACAAUGGGCGAAAGCCUGAUGCAGCAACGCCGCGUGAGGGAUGACGGCCUUCGGGUUGUAAACCUCUUUUAGUAAGGAAGAAGAACUUCGGUUUGACGGUACUUGCAGAAAAAGCACCGGCUAACUACGUGCCAGCAGCCGCGGUAAUACGUAGGGUGCAAGCGUUGUCCGGAAUUAUUGGGCGUAAAGAGCUCGUAGGCGGUUUGUCGCGUCUGCUGUGAAAUCCGGAGGCUCAACCUCCGGCCUGCAGUGGGUACGGGCAGACUAGAGUGCGGUAGGGGAGAUUGGAAUUCCUGGUGUAGCGGUGGAAUGCGCAGAUAUCAGGAGGAACACCGAUGGCGAAGGCAGAUCUCUGGGCCGUAACUGACGCUGAGGAGCGAAAGCAUGGGGAGCGAACAGGAUUAGAUACCCUGGUAGUCCAUGCCGUAAACGUUGGGAACUAGAUGUAGGGGCCAUUCCACGGUUUCUGUGUCGCAGCUAACGCAUUAAGUUCCCCGCCUGGGGAUCGGCCGCAAGGCAAACGUCAAAGGAUUGACGGCUGAGACGNGCGACGACGACGACGAGGGAGAGG
RNAcentral lists this ribosomal RNA (601 nucleotides) under uncultured bacterium. Its description in RNAcentral is "bacterial SSU rRNA". It matches the Rfam family "Bacterial small subunit ribosomal RNA", at positions 338 to 950 of the family's 1533-position model. The record is from RNAcentral.